Molecule: ribosomal RNA, 208 nt
Filed under: uncultured bacterium
Lineage: Bacteria
Description: partial 16S ribosomal RNA
Rfam family: Bacterial small subunit ribosomal RNA
Source: RNAcentral
GACGAACGCUGGCGGCGUGCUUAACACAUGCAAGUCGAGCGGUAAGGCCCUUUCGGGGGGUACACGAGCGGCGAACGGGUGAGUAACACGUGGGUGACCUGCCCUCAGCUCUGGGAUAAGCCUGGGAAACCGGGUCUAAUACCGGAUAUGACUCCAUGACGCAUGUUGUGGGGUGGAAAGCCUUGUGCGGCUGAGGAUGGGCCCGCGG